This 253-nucleotide ribosomal RNA is filed under the name uncultured bacterium. Its description in RNAcentral is "partial 16S ribosomal RNA". It matches the Rfam family "Bacterial small subunit ribosomal RNA", at positions 524 to 776 of the family's 1533-position model. The record is from RNAcentral.
GACAGAGGGUGCAAACGUUGUUCGGAAUUACUGGGCGUAAAGCGCGUGUAGGCGGCUAAGUAAGUCGGGCGUGAAAUCCCACGGCUCAACCGUGGAAGUGCACUCGAAACUGCAUAGCUAGAGUCCUGGAGAGGAAGGUGGAAUUCCUGGUGUAGCGGUGAAAUGCGCAGAUAUCAGGAGGAACACCGGUGGCGAAGGCGGGUCUCUGGGCCGAUACUGACGCUGAGGAGCGAAAGCGUGGGGAGCGAACAGG